UUUCCCGCCGCAUCGCGCGGGUAAACGACUAGUGUAUAUAUAUAUAUAUAUAUAUAUAUAUAUAUAUAUAUAUAUAUAUAUAUAUAUAUAUAUAUAUAUAUAUAUACUAGUCGUUUACCCGCGCGAUGCGGCGGGAAA
This 138-nucleotide microRNA precursor is filed under the name Helianthus annuus (common sunflower). RNAcentral describes it as "microRNA MIR1122". It matches the Rfam family "MIR1120/MIR1122 microRNA precursor family". Lineage: Eukaryota; Viridiplantae; Streptophyta; Magnoliopsida; Asterales; Asteraceae. The record is from RNAcentral.